This 409-nucleotide ribosomal RNA is filed under the name Verrucomicrobiota bacterium. RNAcentral's name for it is "Verrucomicrobia bacterium partial 16S ribosomal RNA". It matches the Rfam family "Bacterial small subunit ribosomal RNA", at positions 355 to 776 of the family's 1533-position model. Lineage: Bacteria; Pseudomonadati; Verrucomicrobiota. The record is from RNAcentral.
UGGGGAAUAUUGCACAAUGGGCGGAAGCCUGAUGCAGCGACGCCGCGUGAGGGAUGACGGCCUUCGGGUUGUAAACCUCUUUCAGUAGGGACGAAGCGUAAGUGACGGUACCUGCAGAAGAAGCACCGGCUAACUACGUGCCAGCAGCCGCGGUAAUACGUAGGGUGCGAGCGUUGUCCGGAAUUACUGGGCGUAAAGAGCUCGUAGGCGGUUUGUCACGUCGUCUGUGAAAUCCUAGGGCUUAACCCUGGACGUGCAGGCGAUACGGGCUGACUUGAGUACUACAGGGGAGACUGGAAUUUCUGGUGUAGCGGUGGAAUGCACAGAUAUCAGGAGGAACACCGAUGGCGAAGGCAGGUUACUGGGCAGUUACUGACGCUGAGGAGCGAAAGCAUGGGUAGCGAACAGG